UACGAAGGGGGCUAGCGUUGCUCGGAAUUACUGGGCGUAAAGGGCGCGUAGGCGGAUAGUUUAGUCAGAGGUAAAAGCCCAGGGCUCAACCUUGGAACUGCCUUUGAUACUGGCUAUCUUGAGUUCGGGAGAGGUGAGUGGAAUGCCGAGUGUAGAGGUGAAAUUCGUAGAUAUUCGGCGGAACACCAGUGGCGAAGGCGACUCACUGGCCCGGUACUGACGCUGAGGUGCGAAAGCGUGGGGAGCAAACAGG
This 253-nucleotide ribosomal RNA is filed under the name uncultured bacterium. RNAcentral's name for it is "partial 16S ribosomal RNA". It matches the Rfam family "Bacterial small subunit ribosomal RNA", at positions 524 to 776 of the family's 1533-position model. The record is from RNAcentral.